This 157-nucleotide ribosomal RNA is filed under the name uncultured bacterium. Its description in RNAcentral is "partial 16S ribosomal RNA". It matches the Rfam family "Bacterial small subunit ribosomal RNA", at positions 355 to 509 of the family's 1533-position model. The record is from RNAcentral.
UGGGGAAUAUUGGUCAAUGGGCUUACGCCUGAACCAGCCAAGUCGCGUGAGGGAAGACUGCCCUAUGGUUGUAAACCUCUUUUGUCAGGGAGCAACGCCGGCUACGUGUAGCCGGACUGAGAGUACCUGAAGAAAAAGCAUCGGCUAACUCCGUGCC